This 90-nucleotide small RNA is filed under the name Serratia quinivorans. RNAcentral describes it as "OmrA-B family". It matches the Rfam family "OmrA-B family". The record is from RNAcentral. Lineage: Bacteria; Pseudomonadati; Pseudomonadota; Gammaproteobacteria; Enterobacterales; Yersiniaceae.
CCCAGAGGUAUUGAUUGGUGAGUCUCAGCAACUUGUUUGUUGAACCCAUAUUAAUUUGCACCAACCUACGCAGAUGCGUAGGUUUUUUUU